AUUGAACGCUGGCGGCAGGCCUAACACAUGCAAGUCGAGCGGAUGAAGGGAGCUUGCUCCUGGAUUCAGCGGCGGACGGGUGAGUAAUGCCUAGGAAUCUGCCUGGUAGUGGGGGAUAACGUCCGGAAACGGGCGCUAAUACCGCAUACGUCCUGAGGGAGAAAGUGGGGGAUCUUCGGACCUCACGCUAUCAGAUGAGCCUAGGUCGGAUUAGCUAGUUGGUGGGGUAAAGGCCUACCAAGGCGUCGAUCCGUAACUGGUCUGAGAGGAUGAUCAGUCACACUGGAACUGAGACACGGUGCAGACUCCUACGGGAGGCAGCAGUGGGGAAUAUUGGACAAUGGGCGAAAGCCUGAUCCAGCCAUGCCGCGUGUGUGAAGAAGGUCUUCGGAUUGUAAAGCACUUUAAGUUGGGAGGAAGGGCAGUAAGUUAAUACCUUGCUGUUUUGACGUUACCAACAGAAUAAGCACCGGCUAACUUCGUG
RNAcentral lists this ribosomal RNA (484 nucleotides) under uncultured bacterium. RNAcentral describes it as "partial 16S ribosomal RNA". It matches the Rfam family "Bacterial small subunit ribosomal RNA", at positions 30 to 507 of the family's 1533-position model. The record is from RNAcentral.